Molecule: ribosomal RNA, 710 nt
Filed under: uncultured bacterium
Lineage: Bacteria
Description: bacterial SSU rRNA
Rfam family: Bacterial small subunit ribosomal RNA
Source: RNAcentral
AUUAGAUACCCUGGUAGUCCACGCAGUAAACGAUGAGCACUAAUUGUCCGGUCCGAAUGAGGACUGGGUGAUACAGCGAAAGCGUUAAGUGCUCCACCUGGGGAGUACGCCGGCAACGGUGAAACUCAAAGGAAUUGACGGGGGCCCGCACAAGCGGAGGAACAUGUGGUUUAAUUCGAUGAUACGCGAGGAACCUUACCCGGGCUCAAACGCGGCGUGAAUACUUUUGAAAGGAGGUAGCCAGCAAUGGUCUGUGUCGAGGUGCUGCAUGGUUGUCGUCAGCUCGUGCCGUGAGGUGUCGGCUUAAGUGCCAUAACGAGCGCAACCCCUACCGCCAGUUGCCAACAGGUAAAGCUGGGGACUCUGGCGGGACUGCCGGCGCAAGCUGCGAGGAAGGCGGGGAUGACGUCAAAUCAGCACGGCCCUUACGUCCGGGGCGACACACGUGUUACAAUGGCAGGUACAGCGGGAAGCCACCUGGCAACAGGGCGCGGAACCCGAAAACCUGUCUCAGUUCGGAUUGGAGUCUGCAACCCGACUCCAUGAAGCUGGAUUCGCUAGUAAUCGCGCAUCAGCCACGGCGCGGUGAAUACGUUCCCGGGCCUUGUACACACCGCCCGUCAAGCCAUGGAAGCCGGGAGUGCCUGAAGUGUGCGACCGCAAGGAGCGCCCUAAGGUAAAACCGGUGACUGGGGCUAAGUCGUAACAAG